Molecule: ribosomal RNA, 379 nt
Filed under: uncultured soil bacterium
Lineage: Bacteria
Description: bacterial SSU rRNA
Rfam family: Bacterial small subunit ribosomal RNA
Source: RNAcentral
AGAGUGAACGCUGGCGGUAGGCCUAACACAUGCAAGUCGAACGGCAGCACAGUAGGAGCUUGCUCUUACGGGUGGCGAGUGGCGGACGGGUGAGGAAUACAUCGGAAUCUACCUUUUGGUGGGGGAUAACGUAGGGAAACUUACGCUAAUACCGCAUACGCCCUUCGGGGGAAAGCCGGGGACCAGCAAUGGCCUGGCGCUGAUAGAUGAGCCGAUGUCGGAUUAGCUAGUUGGUGAGGUAAUGGCUCACCAAGGCGACGAUCCGUAGCUGGUCUGAGAGGAUGAUCAGCCACACUGGAACUGAGACACGGUCCAGACUCCUACGGGAGGCAAGCAGUGGGGAAUAUUGGAACAAUGGGGCGCAAGCCUGAUCCAGCCA